GAUGAACGCUGGCGGCGUGCCUAAUACAUGCAAGUCGAGCGAAAAGACGAGGAGCUUGUUCCGUUCACGUUAGCGGCGGACGGGUGAGUCACACGUGGAUCACCCCCUUAUAAUUCUGGGAUAACUACGGAAAAGCGGAGAUAAUCCCGUAUGAUAUCUUGAACCGCAUGGGGCAUUAGUAAGUUACGGUUUUGCUGUCUCUUAUCGAUGGUUCCGCGCCGUAUUAGCUAGUUGUGAGGGUAACGGCCUACCAAGGCUACGAUGCGUAGCCGAAGUGAGAGACGGGUAGGCCGCACGGGAACGGGGACAGGGACAAGGCGCCUACGAGAGGCAGCAGACGGGAAUGUGCGGCAGUGGUCGAAAGCAUGACGCAGCGAGGCCGCGUGAGUGAUGAAGGUCUUCGGAUCGUAAAGCUGUGUUAUGGGGGAAGAACAGAUGUGGAAGUAAAUGUGGACGUCGUGACGGUACCGAAUAAGAAAGCAACGGCUAACUACGUG
This 497-nucleotide ribosomal RNA is filed under the name uncultured bacterium. RNAcentral's name for it is "partial 16S ribosomal RNA". It matches the Rfam family "Bacterial small subunit ribosomal RNA", at positions 28 to 507 of the family's 1533-position model. The record is from RNAcentral.